AUGGACCUCCUCCAAAACGCGGAGGUGGACCUCGGGGCUCCGCCUCUCGAACCCUUUAGGGUUGGUGACGACUUAGAGGAAGAUGAGGAGGAUGAAGGUGAUGACGAGGAGGAGGUGGCCGAGAUAGGAGAGGAAGCAUUCACCGCUGUUUCCCGCCCACACGCGCGGUCGACAAACUACACCAAGGCGGAAGAUAUCCUCUUGGUUCGUGCUUGGGCAGCUGUAGGAAUGGAUGCAACCACCGGCACCGACCAAACUGGUAAACGGUAUUGGCAAAGGAUCGAUGACACCUAUUGUAGGAUCAAGCCGAAGAAUAGUGGGUUCAUCUCUCGCACUUACCGGUCGCUUCAAGGCCGGUGGGAGUUGAUGAAGCCCGCUUGUGCUCGUUGGAGUGCGGUCAUAGACCAAGUGAGGGAUGUACCACCUAGUGGAACCGUGGAGAGUGACUAUGAGACAAUUGCCGGCAUGAGGUACAAGGAGAUGGCCGCUUCCAAGGGCAAGCCAUUCCCAUUUAAGCAUGCUUGGACAAUUCGUCAAACCUUUGACAAGUGGAACUUGAGGGAUCAAGAGACCGCACCCAAGAAGUCGGCAAUGCUUAGGAUGGGUGAUAGUGAAGAUGAGGAGGAGAGGAACUUGGGCAAGCCCGAGGGAACCAAGAAGGGCAAGCUAAGGGUGAAGAUGGAAGAAGAGGCGUCAAGCCUAAGGGAGAAGAUGGACCACAUGAUGAAGGCAAGAGAGGAAUUGACAACAAAGACAUUGGAGACGAAGCUUCUUAUCACCGAGAAGAAGAAAGAGGUCAAGCUUGCACAAGUUGAAGCAAAGCGUGAAGAAGCAAAGCGCAAGGCCGAGUUGGAGAAGAGGAUGAUCAAGCUCAAAGAGGCAAAGGUAUGGAAAGAACUCAUGGUGGAAGAGAAAGAGCACAUGAUGAUGUCCAAGAAGGACAUGGAUCAAGACCAAUUGCAAUGGUGGAAGGACUACAAGGAGGACAUCGCGAAGAGGAAGAGAAUGUUUCGUGUUGCGUCCUCUACUUUUCGAGGUGACACUCCGAUGAGUAGUUGUGGCAUGGCGGUGUGUACGACUCCACCAGUGCCCAUGGAGAUGCUUGAUGGAGCCCGCAUGUGGUCUAGGAGAUGGCGCCGAGGUGCAACUUUUUGA
RNAcentral lists this ribosomal RNA (1155 nucleotides) under Triticum aestivum (bread wheat). RNAcentral's name for it is "partial small subunit ribosomal RNA". The record is from RNAcentral. Lineage: Eukaryota; Viridiplantae; Streptophyta; Magnoliopsida; Poales; Poaceae.